CUCCUUAUUUUUUUUCUUAGGAGCUGCCUUUUCUUUUGGCUCCGGCUUUUUCUUAGAUAUUUUUGUAUUUUUAAUAAGUUGAGGCUGGAUCUCAACCUGCCUGAUGCCUUGGGGGUUUGGCCCAUAGAGGAUGCGUGUCAUGUUGCACUCUUAUUGACGGCGUGGCCUGAAAUCGAACUUCUCUUCUUGGCCAUUAAUGUUGAAGCGGAUUUCUCCAGCCCCAACAUCAAUCUGUGCUCCAGCCGUACUCAAGAAUAGUCUUCCUAGGAUUAGUGGUGUUUCUUUAGUGAGCUCCAUGUUGAGCACCACAAAAUCCACUGGAACAUAGUAUCCUCUGAUCUUGAUAGGGAUGUCUUGAGCAAUCCCUGCCGGGUACUGGACUGACGAGUCUGCCAACUCGAGUGUCAUGGUGGUUGGCUCCAAGUUGGUGAAGUUCAGCCUGUCAAAGACUGAUUUCGGCAUGACGCUCACACUCGCCCCCAAAUCACAUAGGGUGUGGUCGAAUUGCUGGGCCCCAAUUGAGCAAGAGAUUGUGGGGCACCCAGGAUCCUGCUUCUGCUCGGGCAGCUCAUUGAGUAUAGCUGCGCUACAUUCUUCUAUUAGCUU
RNAcentral lists this long non-coding RNA (606 nucleotides) under Sorghum bicolor (sorghum). RNAcentral's name for it is "long non-coding RNA (SBIC_LNC004653)". The record is from RNAcentral. Lineage: Eukaryota; Viridiplantae; Streptophyta; Magnoliopsida; Poales; Poaceae.